UUAUAGUUUGAUCCUGGCUCAGGAUGAACGCUAGCGACAGGCUUAACACAUGCAAGUCGAGGGGUAGAAGGCUUCGGCCUUUGAGACCGGCGCACGGGUGCGAAACGCGUAUACAAUCUACCUAUUACAGGGGGAUAGCCCAGAGAAAUUUGGAUUAAUACCCCAUAGUAUUAUAGAGUGGCAUCAUUUUAUAAUUAAAGUUGAGGCGGUAAUAGAUGAGUAUGCGUCCUAUUAGCUAGUUGGUGAGGUAACGGCUCACCAAGGCUACGAUAGGUAGGGGUCCUGAGAGGGAGAUCCCCCACACUGGUACUGAGACACGGACCAGACUCCUACGGGAGGCAGCAGUGAGGAAUAUUGGUCAAUGGACGCAAGUCUGAACCAGCCAUGUCGCGUGCAGGAAGACGGCCUUAUGGGUUGUAAACUGCUUUUCUAUAGGGAGAAACCCCCUUUCGUGAGAGGGGCUGACGGUACUAUAGGAAUAAACACCGGCUAACUCCGUGCCAGCAGCCGCGGUAAUACGGGAGGGUGUAAGCGUUAUCCGGAAUCAUUGGGUUUAAAGGGUCCGUAGGCGGACUGAUAAGUCAGAGGUGAAAUCCCACAGCUUAACUGUGGAACUGCCUUUGAUACUGUCAGUCUUGAGUUAUAUUGAAGUAGAUGGAAUGUGUAGUGUAGCGGUGAAAUGCAUAGAUAUUACACAGAACACCGAUUGCGAAGGCAGUCUACUAAGUAUAUACUGACGCUGAGGGACGAAAGCGCGGGGAUCAAACAGGAUUAGAUACCCUGGUAGUCCACGCCGUAAACGAUGGAUACUAGCUGUUGGAUCGUGAGGUUCAGUGGCUAAGCAAAAGUGAUAAGUAUCCCACCUG
This 866-nucleotide ribosomal RNA is filed under the name uncultured bacterium. RNAcentral's name for it is "bacterial SSU rRNA". It matches the Rfam family "Bacterial small subunit ribosomal RNA", at positions 1 to 875 of the family's 1533-position model. The record is from RNAcentral.